AUGAACGCUGGCGGCGUGCUUAACCCCUGCAAGUCGCACGAAGCACUUUAUUUGAUUUCCUUCGGGACUGAUUAUUUUGUGACUGAGUGGCGGACGGGUGAGUAACGCGUGGGUAACCUGCCUUGUACAGGGGGAUAACAGUUGGAAACGGCUGCUAAUACCGCAUAAGCGCACAGCAUCGCAUGAUGCAGUGUGAAAAACUCCGGUGGUAUAAGAUGGACCCGCGUUGGAUUAGCUAGUUGGUGAGGUAACGGCCCACCAAGGCGACGAUCCAUAGCCGACCUGAGAGGGUGACCGGCCACAUUGGGACUGAGACACGGCCCAAACUCCUACGGGAGGCAGCAGUGGGGAAUAUUGCACAAUGGGCGAAAGCCUGAUGCAGCGACGCCGCGUGAGCGAAGAAGUAUUUCGGUAUGUAAAGCUCUAUCAGCAGGGAAGAUAAUGACGGUACCUGACUAAGAAGCACCGGCUAAAUACGUG
This 480-nucleotide ribosomal RNA is filed under the name uncultured bacterium. RNAcentral describes it as "partial 16S ribosomal RNA". It matches the Rfam family "Bacterial small subunit ribosomal RNA", at positions 29 to 507 of the family's 1533-position model. The record is from RNAcentral.